AGCUGCCGCAGCACAGAGACGGCACGUGACGGCACGGCGAGACAGCACGACGUGCCGUCUCUGUGCCGUCUCUGUGCCAGCAGAAAACGCUACCGGCGGGGAGCGAUUUUAUCGCAUAUAAAAAUAAUGCUAAAUAAAAAUUAGUUAGAACGCAUAACUAAGCAUCUACAUCAUAAAUAAUUAAUAAAUUUUGUUAUAUAGUAUAAAAAAAAUUUUAUGUAAGAAAAAAAAAUCUGCCGGGUGUAGGGCUGGAACUCACGAUCUUUGGAUCAGAAGUCCGAAGCUCUAGCCUCUGAGCCACAACUCUUCUUACAAUUUGAUGCACAAUUGCACCUAAUAAUCAUCGCUAAUAAUUAGAAUUAUGUAAUAAAAUAAUGUUUAAAUGUAAUUCGGUUUGGAGAGAAUAAAAAAAGUAAUAAAUGUAUGCUCUUUACUAAUUAAAGUCCAUAAUUAUUAAUAAUGCAACAUUCUGAGCACGCGGCACGCGUGCUGUCGCUGUGCAGUCUCUGUGCCGUCGCGUACAGACGCCUAGGUCGAGACAGCAACUGGACGGCACAGUGACAGCACGACGUGCGGCACGUCAAGAGCAUGCUCUGCAAAAAAACGCCCGCCAGAUGUCCCCGCUUGAUAGCACAGAGACGGCACACGGACAGCACGCCGUGCGGCACAACAAGUCUCGGUGGAGACAGCACGUGCUGUUAUCUGGGUAUAGAAAUAGAAGAGAAAGAUAUCUUUUAUUUAUAGUGAUAUAUAGUUUUCAGAGCAUAGUCACGUAAAAAGUUUAAUUUUAAUUCUUAUUUUUUUUUGUAUUUAACAGACUGUAAUAAGUUACAUUACCGAUAUUAUUAAUUGUAACUAAAAAUUAAAUAAAUAACUAAUAUGUAUGAUAUAGAAUACUUUGAAUCAAUAAUUUUUAAUAAAAUUUAAAAAAAUGUAUCAGUUGAUAAAAUAAAUCGAUAUUUGGAAGACCUGAAAGUGGUAGGAAAUAAUUGAGAGAGAAAUAAUGCUAUAGGAUAGAAAAAACUUGGUUUACGAGGUUAUCCAUCUUUUAUUAAACAAAACUGUAAUCAACGCAACGCUGACAAAAUCAUGAUAUGACAAGAUAAAGUUCCAGGUUCCGUGGCUUUAAGUAAAUCAGAGAAAGCUAAACAAAGUUUUCUUGCUGCGUCUAGCAAUCGAUCGCCUGACGAUUCAUCAUCAAGCAAGGCAGCUAUCAUCCUUACACCUUUCGUCAUUUCUGGCAAAUUAGAUGUUAUGGUUGUAAUAGCAGCGCCAACAGCAGUAUGAUCGACAUCAUCGUUGGUUCCAGACGUCAACGUUACAACCUGAGCAGUAGCAGCGUUCAUCGCAGCUAUUUGUGAACCAAUAUUUUGCUUGUGCGUGUCGAUAGUUUGUUCUAUCCAUCGUAGCGAAGUGACAUCAUUGCCAAGCUCAGGAACAGAAGCUUUACAAGAUAAUUCUGUUUCAGCGAUUUGAAUGAUUUCUUGACCACUAAUAAUGGUCGAAGAUAAGGCACGUUGUGGUUCUGUAAGGACGGACGUAAUUUUGGGUUGUUGAAUCUAAAAGAUGAACAAUGAUUUUAAUAUUUUAUAGCGGGAUUUAUAUGCAUAAUUUACUAGUAUAUGAUGGAUUUAGAAAGAGCUUACUAUUGUCGGAGCAUGAGAAACGUUAGCUUGUUCACUUAUGGUCGUAUACUGCGCGCUCGCCAUAUAUCCUGUUCCAUAUAAUCUUGCACCUGUAAAUUUUGCAAUAAAAAUUAACUUCUACGUAAAAAAA
RNAcentral lists this long non-coding RNA (1776 nucleotides) under Nasonia vitripennis (jewel wasp). Its description in RNAcentral is "uncharacterized LOC116417616". The record is from RNAcentral. Lineage: Eukaryota; Metazoa; Arthropoda; Insecta; Hymenoptera; Pteromalidae.